Small nuclear RNA from Monodelphis domestica (gray short-tailed opossum), 107 nucleotides. The record is from Ensembl. NCBI's taxonomy places the organism in Eukaryota, Metazoa, Chordata, Mammalia, Didelphimorphia, Didelphidae.
AUGCUUGCUCUGACAAUAUGUAUUUUAAAACUGUAACAAUAUAGAGAAAAUUAACAUGGUCUCCAUCUGAGGAUGACACACCUUGUAAUCAGUCUUUCCAUAUUUCC